RNAcentral lists this ribosomal RNA (181 nucleotides) under uncultured bacterium. Its description in RNAcentral is "partial 16S ribosomal RNA". It matches the Rfam family "Bacterial small subunit ribosomal RNA", at positions 524 to 706 of the family's 1533-position model. The record is from RNAcentral.
UACGGAGGGUGCAAGCGUUAAUCGGAAUUACUGGGCGUAAAGCGCGCGUAGGUGGUGUAGUCAGUGAUGUGAAAGCCCCGGGCUUAACCUGGGAACGCAUUUCAGAACUGCGAGCUAGAGUAUGGUAGAGGAGAGUGGAAUUUCCUGGUGUAGCGGUGAAAUGCGUAGAUAUAGUGAAGAA